GAGCAAAUAAAUGGGUAACUUUUCUCGAUUUCCAAUUGCUAUGCAUGUUUAGCUAAUCCUUAUCCCUUCUCACCAUUUCAAAUUUACGUGAUCCUUAUCCGUUAAUCUUAUGAACUAAUCUGGAACACAGAAAAUUGAAAUCACAUCUACAAAACCAUUCAGCCUUUUUUUUUCUUCCAAGGAGACAGUAGCAUCGAACUUCUUAAUUGCCUUCGAUGUGCAUAUAGCAACUCUUAGAAGACGGCGACUGACUCAAUGUGAAACCUAAAAUGUUAAUUUUCGAAAGGACUCCUCAGAGAUAGAGGCAGGAAUUUCUCGAUGACCGUACACGUCAGGAGUCCAUCCAGGAAAGUGUGGUACAUCCUCUUUCCGUCUUCCUAUUUGCAGAAGUCCCAAGUACUCUGAAUGAGCCUCACGAAGCCCAGACUGUGCGGGUUGGUUCAUGCUAACCACCAGACUGACGGAACCACAUACACAAGAAGGCACCCUUGGCUUCGUCUUCACCUCUCCGAGCCACUGCAUUUCCGCCAGUGGACAGCAUCAUGCGGAACAAAGCCCAUUCACUAUCAUUAGUUCUUAAUCGUUCGUUGACUGCCUCGAGCCAGCAAGAUAUCUCUCCCGAACAAGGUAAGAGGAAGCUAGGUAGAUGAAGUUUGUAUGAUCUAUCAACGAUCAGCACCAGUUACUAUCAUGACAUUGGCAGUCCCAUAUAUUUAGUCCCUAGAAUAUUGCAUAAGCUCAAACCACUGCACGUAAAAUACAGGAAAAAUUGGUUAGACUCGGAUCAUAAUAUAUAGUGCUACAGUAGUAUUCCAUACCUUUUAGGCCUGAGAGAGAGAGAGAGAAAGAGAGAGAGAGAGAGAGAGAGGGGAGGGGGGGAACAGAACCAUCUCACACAACUUAGAAAUAUACUCUCUAUUUAAAACGUUACUAUGAAGCUUUGGUCUGACUAUGUUCAAUUUUUUUGGUUUUGUCAUGUCUACCUAGUAAUUGCUAAGCAUCAGCUGUGUUGCAUAGAAACACGGUGGAGUCAAUAAUCAUCUAGUUCAUAUUUUCUCUCAUGCAGAAAUGGAGAUAUUCUAUGGAAUCAACAAACUCAAUAAGAUAAAUACAAAAUUCUGAUUUUAGGUCCAUGUAAACUUUCUUGCUUUCCAGUUUUACCUACUACAAACAAAUUAAUAGUUUUGGCAUUUUAUCAAACACUUGAUUUCAUAUAAAUAUCAUUGCAUUAUUACAGAAAUUUAGAAUUAAAAAAUUCUCAAAUGACAUCUAUAAAAUACUCAAAUGACUACAAAUUCUAGUAACAUUAUAUCAACUUUCAUGUUUCAAAGGUUUAGGAAACAUGCCACAACCUAAUCUUUUGAAGGCCAACUAAUCCAUGAUAACCAAUAUCAAAACUUACACCUAAUAGGUUAUAAUCAUAAAUAAAUCAACAAUUCAAGGGAAAAUAAAAAAAAUUUUACAAAAGGACAGAGCAAAAAACCUGUAAUGUGACAAAAUCAAGGAUAACCUCUUCUGCAAGGGAAAAAAAUGCAAGAUGAUGUUUGGGUACAAAUAGCAAUGAAAUAGAUACAGUCAAAUAUUCAUUUACUAUAACCUACCCAAAAAAUAUAUAUAUAUAUUCGC
Molecule: long non-coding RNA, 1626 nt
Filed under: Coffea arabica (coffee)
Lineage: Eukaryota; Viridiplantae; Streptophyta; Magnoliopsida; Gentianales; Rubiaceae
Description: long non-coding RNA (CARA_LNC006258)
Source: RNAcentral